AGAAAGAGGUCUCUGAGAGGAGAAAAAGAAAAGAACGAACUCCUCCCUCCAGGACCAAUCCAUCUCCUCCAAGGAAGUCGAGGCGACACUCUCCCAGGCGACGAACUCCUCCGCGCCGGAGAUUUUAUUCUGGGGAGUCUUCCCGGGUUCGAUACAAUUAUUCUUCCACCCGGGAGACGCAACUGCCGGGGUACCAAGGUGCACACCCUCGGAAUUAUGGGUCCAAGUUCCUUCUGACCCCUGACACGGAUACCGCCCGGACUACACUGCGGGCUAUCUCUGGGUAUCCGAUGGACCGUACUGUUGAAGAGAUAGGGCAGAAC
This 323-nucleotide long non-coding RNA is filed under the name Zostera marina. RNAcentral describes it as "long non-coding RNA (ZMAR_LNC000699)". Lineage: Eukaryota; Viridiplantae; Streptophyta; Magnoliopsida; Alismatales; Zosteraceae. The record is from RNAcentral.